CGGACGGGUGAGUAACGCGUGGGCAACCUGCCUUACACAGGGGGAUAACACUUAGAAAUAGGUGCUAAAACCGCAUAAGCGCACAGCUUCGCAUGAAGCGGUGUGAGAAACUCCGGUGGUGUAAGAUGGACCCGCGUCUGAUUAGCUUGUUGGCGGGGUAACGGCCCACCAAGGCGACGAUCAGUAGCCGGCCUGAGAGGGCGGACGGCCACAUUGGGACUGAGACACGGCCCAGACUCCUACGGAAGGCAGCAG
This 255-nucleotide ribosomal RNA is filed under the name uncultured bacterium. Its description in RNAcentral is "partial 16S ribosomal RNA". It matches the Rfam family "Bacterial small subunit ribosomal RNA", at positions 99 to 354 of the family's 1533-position model. The record is from RNAcentral.